GUGGGGGAUAACCAUUGGAAACGAUGGCUAAUACCGCAUAAUAGCUUCGGCUCAAAGAGGGGGACCUUCGGGCCUCUCGCGUCAGGAUAUGCCCAGGUGGGAUUAGCUAGUUGGUGAGGUAAGGGCUCACCAAGGCGACGAUCCCUAGCUGGUCUGAGAGGAUGAUCAGCCACACUGGAACUGAGACACGGUCCAGACUCCUACGGGAGGCAGCAGUGGGGAAUAUUGCACAAUGGGCGCAAGCCUGAUGCAGCCAUGCCGCGUGUAUGAAGAAGGCCUUCGGGUUGUAAAGUACUUUCAGCAGUGAGGAAGGCGGGUGUGUUAAUAGCGCAUUCGUUUGACGUUAGCUGCAGAAGAAGCACCGGCUAACUCCGUGCCAGCAGCCGCGGUAAUACGGAGGGUGCGAGCGUUAAUCGGAAUUACUGGGCGUAAAGCGCAUGCAGGUGGUUUGUUAAGUCAGAUGUGAAAGCCCGGGGCUCAACCUCGGAAUUGCAUUUGAAACUGGCAGACUAGAGUACUGUAGAGGGGGGUAGAAUUUCAGGUGUAGCGGUGAAAUGCGUAGAGAUCUGAAGGAAUACCGGUGGCGAAGGCGGCCCCCUGGACAGAUACUGACACUCAGAUGCGAAAGCGUGGGGAGCAAACAGGAUUAGAUACCCUGGUAGUCCACGCCGUAAACGAUGUCUACUUGGAGGUUGUGGCCUUGAGCCGUGGCUUUCGGAGCUAACGCGUUAAGUAGACCGCCUGGGGAGUACGGUCGCAAGAUUAAAACUCAAAUGAAUUGACGGGGGCCCGCACAAGCGGUGGAGCAUGUGGUUUAAUUCGAUGCAACGCGAAGAACCUUACCUACUCUUGACAUCCUCAGAAGCUUGUAGAGAUACGAGUGUGCCUUCGGGAACUGAGAGACAGGUGCUGCAUGGCUGUCGUCAGCUCGUGUUGUGAAAUGUUGGGUUAAGUCCCGCAACGAGCGCAACCCUUAUCCUUGUUUGCCAGCACUUCGGGUGGGAACUCCAGGGAGACUGCCGGUGAUAAACCGGAGGAAGGUGGGGACGACGUCAAGUCAUCAUGGCCCUUACGAGUAGGGCUACACACGUGCUACAAUGGCGCAUACAGAGGGCAGCCAACUUGCGAGAGUGAGCGAAUCCCAAAAAGUGCGUCGUAGUCCGGAUUGGAGUCUGCAACUCGACUCCAUGAAGUCGGAAUCGCUAGUAAUCGUGGAUCAGAAUGC
RNAcentral lists this ribosomal RNA (1225 nucleotides) under Vibrio sinaloensis. RNAcentral describes it as "bacterial SSU rRNA". It matches the Rfam family "Bacterial small subunit ribosomal RNA", at positions 136 to 1357 of the family's 1533-position model. Lineage: Bacteria; Pseudomonadati; Pseudomonadota; Gammaproteobacteria; Vibrionales; Vibrionaceae. The record is from RNAcentral.